RNAcentral lists this ribosomal RNA (509 nucleotides) under uncultured eukaryote. Its description in RNAcentral is "SSU rRNA". It matches the Rfam family "Eukaryotic small subunit ribosomal RNA", at positions 637 to 1150 of the family's 1831-position model. The record is from RNAcentral.
AACCUUGGGCCUGGCUGGCCGGUCCGCCUCACCGCGUGUACUGGUCCGGCCGGGCCUUUCCUUCUGGGGAGCCGCAUGCCCUUCACUGGGCGUGUCGGGGAACCAGGACUUUUACUUUGAAAAAAUUAGAGUGUUCAAAGCAGGCCUUUGCUCGAAUACAUUAGCAUGGAAUAAUAGAAUAGGACGUGUGGUUCUAUUUUGUUGGUUUCUAGGACCGCCGUAAUGAUUAAUAGGGAUAGUCGGGGGCAUCUGUAUUCAAUUGUCAGAGGUGAAAUUCUUGGAUUUAUUGAAGACAAACUACUGCGAAAGCAUUUGCCAAGGAUGUUUUCAUUAAUCAGUGAACGAAAGUUAGGGGAUCGAAGACGAUCAGAUACCGUCGUAGUCUUAACCAUAAACUAUGCCGACUAGGGAUCGGGCGAUGUUAUCUUUUUGACUCGCUCGGCACCUUACGAGAAAUCAAAGUCUUUGGGUUCCGGGGGGAGUAUGGUCGCAAGGCUGAAACUUAAAGG